Molecule: ribosomal RNA, 112 nt
Filed under: Caerostris darwini
Lineage: Eukaryota; Metazoa; Arthropoda; Arachnida; Araneae; Araneidae
Source: RNAcentral
AACGGCCAUACCAUGCUGAAUAUACCGGUUCUCGUUAGAUCACCGAAGUCAAGCAUCAUUGGGCGCUGUCAAUACUUGGGUGGGUGACCACCUGAGAACACCGCGUGCCGUU